This 180-nucleotide ribosomal RNA is filed under the name Escherichia coli. Its description in RNAcentral is "partial 16S ribosomal RNA". It matches the Rfam family "Bacterial small subunit ribosomal RNA", at positions 1 to 174 of the family's 1533-position model. The record is from RNAcentral. RNAcentral also lists the same sequence under 8 other names. Lineage: Bacteria; Pseudomonadati; Pseudomonadota; Gammaproteobacteria; Enterobacterales; Enterobacteriaceae.
AAAUUGAAGAGUUUGAUCAUGGCUCAGAUUGAACGCUGGCGGCAGGCCUAACACAUGCAAGUCGAACGGUAACAGGAAGCAGCUUGCUGCUUCGCUGACGAGUGGCGGACGGGUGAGUAAUGUCUGGGAAACUGCCUGAUGGAGGGGGAUAACUACUGGAAACGGUAGCUAAUACCGCAU